This 376-nucleotide ribosomal RNA is filed under the name Acanthonyx petiverii. RNAcentral describes it as "partial 16S ribosomal RNA". The stretch from base 252 to 376 matches the Rfam family "Bacterial large subunit ribosomal RNA", at positions 2473 to 2598 of the family's 2925-position model. Lineage: Eukaryota; Metazoa; Arthropoda; Malacostraca; Decapoda; Epialtidae. The record is from RNAcentral.
UGUCUCUCCGUUAAAACUUGAAUUUUACUUUUAAGUGAAAAGGCUUAAAUUUUUUAGGGGGACGAUAAGACCCUAUAAAGCUUAAUGAUUAAAAGUUAAAUUUUUUGAUGUAACUUAUAAAAUUAAAUUAAAUAAAAUCAUUUUGUUGGGGCGACACAGGUAUAAAUACAUAUAACUGCCAGAUUUUUAACCAUAAUUAUAUGAUAUAAUAAUGAUCCUAUAUAAAGAUUAAAAGAUUAAGUUACUUUAGGGAUAACAGCGUAAUUCUUUUUAAGAGUUCUUAUUGAAAAAAGAGUUUGCGACCUCGAUGUUGAAUUAAAAAUCCUUUAUGGUGCAGCAGCUAUAAAAGGAGGUCUGUUCGACCUUUAAAUUUUUA